RNAcentral lists this ribosomal RNA (720 nucleotides) under Triticum aestivum (bread wheat). RNAcentral describes it as "partial small subunit ribosomal RNA". The record is from RNAcentral. Lineage: Eukaryota; Viridiplantae; Streptophyta; Magnoliopsida; Poales; Poaceae.
AUGCCAAACGGGAAUUUGGACACGUGGUUACACACAAAAUCUGCUGGUGAAGGUCCAAGGAUUUUGAGCUUAGGGCAAAGAAUAAGCAUCGCUGUUAAUAUCGCUGAUGCAUUGGCCUACUUGCACCAUGAUAUCACAAGAUCCAUUGUCCAUUGCGAUUUGAAACCCAGCAAUAUCCUCCUGGACACUGAUAUGAAUGCAUAUUUGGGUGACUUUGGCAUUGCAAACCUCGUUCGUAACUCAAAGUCAACAUCAAGUUCAGCCUCAACUUCAGAUAGCUCAAUUGGAUUGAAGGGAACUAUAGGAUAUAUUGCUCCAGAGUAUGCUCAAACUGGACAAGCAUCAACCUAUGGGGACGUUUACAGUUUUGGAAUAGUUCUUCUAGAGAUGCUGAUAGGUAAAAGACCAACAGACCCUAUGUUUGACAAUGAACUCAACAAUGUCAAUUUUGUGGAGACGAACUCUCCAGAUCAUAUACUGCAUAUCAUCGAUGAUCAUCUCCAAGAAGUGUGCAAGGGAUUCACUCAUACGACAGUGGAAGCAGGAAACAUAGUAUAUCAGUGGUUGGUGCCCCUUGUGCAAGUAGCUCUGUCAUGCACACGUCUGUUCCCAAGAGAGCGAAUGAACAUGAGAGAAGUAGCCAUGAAAUUGGAGGCAGCCAGGACAUCAUAUAUAUGUUGGAGCAAACAAGCCAGAGCAAGCUAUGCUACACUAGAGUGA